UGGGACGAGGGCGGCAAUCAGCUGCGCAGCGCUCUAACUUUGUCCGGUCAUUAUUUGAGCUCCAUAUCGCUACUUCCCAGUCGCGCUACAUUUAGAGCGAGAGAAAGAAGGAGAGAAUUCAGACUUUUAUUGUGACUCCGUAGUAGGCCACAGCACAACGGAAUAUUUUGUUGUUGUGUGCGAAUUAGUUGUGUAUCGAUUUGAUACAUCAUAUUUGACUGCGAGUUUUGGUUGCGGUUUUGAAAUCGGGGAGUGUCGCGCCGGGUGGAAAUCAGGUUUGAGGAAUCAGUGGGAUAUGUUGAUCUGUACAUGAGCGCAGCGCAUUCUUCCGAAAGAAGGCUGCACCUCACCAACACAUAACAGCACGUUUCAUCGCGGAGCUAAGAUGAAACCACUCCUGUUCCUGCUCUGGGAGACUGGGCUAGCUCUCUCUCUGCUCUACUCGGCUGCACAGUGUGGAGCGACCCAGAGCCAGACCCAGGGUGCCGUGUUCCUGCCUGAGUUUGCUCUGUCCCCUCAGGGAAGUUUCCUGGAGGACGCUACCGAGGACCAGUUCCUUACCUACAGAUACGA
Oncorhynchus gorbuscha (pink salmon) is the source of this 573-nucleotide long non-coding RNA. RefSeq lists it as uncharacterized. Lineage: Eukaryota; Metazoa; Chordata; Actinopteri; Salmoniformes; Salmonidae. The transcript has 3 exons. The record is from RefSeq and is a predicted model, not a curated record.